RNAcentral lists this ribosomal RNA (440 nucleotides) under uncultured bacterium. Its description in RNAcentral is "partial 16S ribosomal RNA". It matches the Rfam family "Bacterial small subunit ribosomal RNA", at positions 338 to 795 of the family's 1533-position model. The record is from RNAcentral.
CCUACGGGGGGCAGCAGUGGGGAAUAUUGCACAAUGGGGGGAACCCUGAUGCAGCAACGCCGCGUGGGUGAAGAAGUACUUCGGUAUGUAAAGCCCUGUCAGCAGGGAAGAAAAUGACGGUACCUGACCAAGAAGCCCCGGCUAACUACGUGCCAGCAGCCGCGGUAAUACGUAGGGGGCAAGCGUUAUCCGGAUUUACUGGGUGUAAAGGGAGCGUAGACGGCAAGGCAAGUCUGGAGUGAAAGCCCGGGGCUCAACCACGGGACUGCUUUGGAAACUGUGUUGCUGGAGUGCAGGAGGGGUAAGCGGAAUUCCUAGUGUAGCGGUGAAAUGCGUAGAUAUUAGGAGGAACACCGGUGGCGAAGGCGGCUUACUGGACUGUAACUGACGUUGAGGCUCGAAGGCGUGGGGAGCAAACAGGAUUAGAUACCCCAGUAGUC